Molecule: ribosomal RNA, 468 nt
Filed under: uncultured bacterium
Lineage: Bacteria
Description: partial 16S ribosomal RNA
Rfam family: Bacterial small subunit ribosomal RNA
Source: RNAcentral
GACGAACGCUGGCGGCGUGCUUAACACAUGCAAGUCGAACGGAAAGGCCCUGCUUUUGUGGGGUGCUCGAGUGGCGAACGGGUGAGUAACACGUGAGUAACCUGCCCUUGACUUUGGGAUAACUUCAGGAAACUGGGGCUAAUACCGGAUAUGCGCUCCUGCUGCAUGGUGGGGGUUGGAAAGUUUCGGCGGUUGGGGAUGGACUCGCGGCUUAUCAGCUUGUUGGUGGGGUAGUGGCUUACCAAGGCUUUGACGGGUAGCCGGCCUGGGAGGGUGACCGGCCACAUUGGGACUGAGAUACGGCCCAGACUCCUACGGGAGGCAGCAGUGGGGAAUAUUGCACAAUGGGCGGAAGCCUGAUGCAGCAACGCCGCGUGCGGGAUGACGGCCUUCGGGUUGUAAACCGCUUUCGCCUGUGACGAAGCGUGAGUGACGGUAAUGGGUAAAGAAGCACCGGCUAACUACGUG